Molecule: ribosomal RNA, 1280 nt
Filed under: metagenome
Description: SSU rRNA
Rfam family: Eukaryotic small subunit ribosomal RNA
Source: RNAcentral
AUUUAUUAGAAACUAAAACCAAUCAGCUUCGGCUGUUUGAGAUGAUUCAUAAUAACUCGGCAAAUUACGGGAAAAUUCCUGUGAUGAUUCAAACGGAUUUCUGACCUAUCAACUUUAGAUGGCAAAGUAGGGGUUUGCCAUGGUGACAGCGGGUGACGGGGAAUUAGGGUUCGAUUCCGGAGAGGGAGCCUGAGAAACGGCUACCACUUCCAAGGAAGGCAGCAGGCGCGCAAAUUACCCAAUGCUAAUUCGGCGAGGUAGUGACAAGAAAUACCAAUGUAGGACCCAACGGGUACUACGUUUGGAAUGAGAACAAUUUAAAAACCUUAACGAGGAACAAUUGGAGGGCAAGUCUGGUGCCAGCAGCCGCGGUAAUACCAGCUCCAAUAGUGUAUAUUAAAGUUGCUGCGGUUAAAAAGCUCGUAGUUGGAUUACGAAGUGGUGUUUAAAUGUCAUUUUGGUUUGUUUGUCUUUCGGGGCAUUCAGGUCAACUUGGCUUUUACUCACUGUUGUCAUUGUCUUUGCCCAAGGUAUAUGCCUUGUGUGCAUGGCAUUGACCUUCUAUUUUAUGGUAAUGUUGUUUCUUUCGGGGUACAUUCAUUCCAUAUAGUUUACUUUGAAAAAAUUAGGGUGUUUAAAGCAGGCGAAAAGGCUUCGGAAUAUAUUAGCAUGGGAUAAUAGAAUACGAUCUAGGUCGUAAUUUGUUGGUUUCUACGGCUUAGGUAAUGAUUGACAGGGAUAGUUGGGGUCGCUCGUAUUGAGUUGUCAGAGGUGAGAUUCUAGGAUUAACUCAAGACGAACUAAUGCGAAAGCAUUCGGCAAGGAUGUUUUCAUUAAUCAAGAACGAAAGUUGGGGGAUCGAAGAUGAUCAGAUACCGUCGUAGUCUCAACUGUAAACUAUGUCGACCGAGGAUCCGGUAGCGUUACAUGGAUGACCUUCCGGGCACUCUGUGAGAAAUCAUAAGUAUUUGGAUUUCGGGGGGAGUAUGGUCGCAAGGCUGAAACUUAAAGGGAUUGACGGAAGGGCACCACCAGGAGUGGAAUCUGCGGCUUAAUUUGACCCAACACGGGAAAACUUACCAGGUCCGGACACAGUGAGGAUUGACAGAUUGAGAGCUCUUUCUUGAUUUUGUGGGUGGUGGUGCAUGGCCGUUUUUAGUUGGUGGAGUGAUUUGUCUGGUUAAUUCCGUUAACGAACGAGACCUUAACCUAUUAAAUAGCUGCGCGAACCCAGGUUCUCUAACCAUUCUCUCCUUCGGGGGGGCGUGGUAUCAUUAUUU